Molecule: ribosomal RNA, 301 nt
Filed under: uncultured bacterium
Lineage: Bacteria
Description: partial 16S ribosomal RNA
Rfam family: Bacterial small subunit ribosomal RNA
Source: RNAcentral
CAGCCGCCACGGUAAUACAGAGGGUGCGAGCGUUAAUCGGAUUUACUGGGCGUAAAGCGUGCGUAGGCGGCUAAUUGAGUCGGAUGUGAAAUCCCCGAGCUUAACUUGGGAAUUGCAUUCGAUACUGGUUAGCUAGAGUGUGGGAGAGGAUGGUAGAAUUCCAGGUGUAGCGGUGAAAUGCGUAGAGAUCUGGAGGAAUACCGAUGGCGAAGGCAGCCAUCUGGCCUAACACUGACGCUGAGGUACGAAAGCAUGGGGAGCAAACAGGAUUAGAUACCCCGGUAGUCCCUUCUCUUAUACA